Molecule: ribosomal RNA, 253 nt
Filed under: uncultured bacterium
Lineage: Bacteria
Description: partial 16S ribosomal RNA
Rfam family: Bacterial small subunit ribosomal RNA
Source: RNAcentral
UACGUAGGGCGCAAGCGUUGUCCGGAAUUAUUGGGCGUAAAGAGCUCGUAGGCGGCUUGUCACGUCGGGUGUGAAAGCCCGGGGCUUAACCCCGGGUCUGCAUUCGAUACGGGCUAGCUAGAGUGUGGUAGGGGAGAUCGGAAUUCCUGGUGUAGCGGUGAAAUGCGUAGAGAUCCGGAAGAACACCAGUGGCGAAGGCGGCCCGCUGGGCAGUGGCUGACGCUGAAGCGCGACAGCGUGGGGAGCAAACAGG